AAUUCUCAGGCAUGCGGUGGUCUCAUUUAAACUUAAAGAAAUGUCCCUCAUGUGACAUGUAAGACUGCGCUUGAUGCGGAUUCCAACGUCCAUCAAUUCCUUCUCAUUUCUAAAUGAUGUCAUAACCUCUCUGACAUCUCUAAUUGAUGCAUAUCUAGCAUACAACCAAUCCAACUAUCCAAUAACGAAGGACCUUCCAAAUUUUUCAUUUUAACGAUGCGUUGGGCUGCUAGAAUGUUCAUCACCUAGGAUAAUUCUUCGGAAGAGAUCGAGUAGACGAUGACAAGGCUUUGACUCGUUCUUAGGACUUUGCGACUUCAAUUUGGGGCCAAUAAUUUUGUUGUAUGGGAAGAACAGGCUGGGGUAAUAAUUCUUCAUUUUUUGCAGCAAGGACUCCCUCGUACCUAUAAAUUCCUGUAAUAUUGACUCGUCGUUAAUGCCGAAGAAUUCCUGGAACACUGGCAUCCAAAAAAAACCCACCGCUCCUGAACUCACCUUCUUCAUCAGCUUCAAAAAAUAAUUUUUAAAUAUAAAGUUAAAUAGAUAACUUAUUCUUAAUCUUAAACAUAUUUUCUUUCAUUUGUCCAUAUUUAAUAAAAACAUAUUUUAUAACUAUGACUUUACAUCCAUAAAUUAUUUUUUUAUACAACAUAUUAUAUAAUUAUGUUAUACAUUUAAAAUACUUUAAACAUAGAUAUUUAACAAAUACAUUUAUAACUUAAGAUGAAUAAAAGUAAAUAUAAGUUUAAAUUAAUGAACAAAUAUUAUUUAAAAUUAAUGAGAAUAAAUACGAUUAAUUUAAUUAUUUAAAAUAAAUUUUAAGUUAAUUUUAUUCAAUAAUCUUAAUAUUUAAAUUUAAAAAUAAGUUUUAAGUCAAUAUUAACUUAAAUUGUUAAGUAAUAGUAAUAAGUUUUACCCAACAUCUUUUUAAUUAUUGAAUUCAUAUUUCUUUUAUCAUUUCUCUUAUCCAAUUAAAAUUAUUAGAAAUCCAUCCAUUUAUGUUUUCUAUUUAAUCUCUUUAGCAAACUCGUCAUGUUUGAGUAGUUAAAUUAAAUCUUAUGUUUCCUCUCUCUUUGGGAUUUGAGAAAAAAAAAUCGAUAAUUUUAAAAAACAUUUAUUAAAAUAUGAUAGUUUUAAAAAUAUUUUAAAAUUUAUAAUAGCAAAGCAAAAAUCCAAUUGGAAAUAUUUUUGAAGCACCAUAUUUUAAUAAAUAUUAAAAAAUGGUUUUUUUUUUCCCCUCAAAAUCCCCAUCUUGGCUCUUGAGCAUUGCCCUCCCACUUCUAGUUAAUUUGUAACCACAUGUUUCAAUUUUGUUUAUUGAUGAGACAUUUCAAUAAUAUCCGAAUUGCCUUCACAGGUUUGGACGUUUCUUUGCCUUGUAUCUCGGCUAAGGAUAAUCUAGUUUUUUCUUAUCAUGUAUCACGUAAUGUUAUGGGAAAUUGUCUUAAACAAAAAUAUUGUUCAACAUUUAAUAUCCAUUAGACUUAAUUUCAUUCACCUUCCCUUAGAUUUUUGUUAAUACAUUUUAUUCUUAUAAAUUAAAAUUUCAUCAAAUAUAUAUUUUAUUUCUUUUUAUUUUUUAUUUUCACUCACCUUCUUUCUCAUUUAAAAUAAAUAAAGUAUUUGAUAAAAUUUCAAACUUAUAAAUACCAGAUAAAACUAGUCAAAACCUCAAGAAAAUGAAAUUAACUCAAUCCCAUUGUAAAUUCUCGUAUGAUUAAAUAUUAAGAUGAAUACGACAUAUCUUUAAGAUGAGUAUAAAUAAAUAUAAUAUCAAAUUAUAUAUAAAAAGGAUAGUUUAAAUUAAAUAAUCAAUUUAAUUUUCAAAUAAAAUGAUUAAUGUCAUUUUAACAUAUACGUGAUAUCGACUCCUACAUGUAUGGUUUAAUUUAAUGUUACCCACAUAGCUAUUCCAAAAUUAAAAUUUUUACUUACCCCUACGAUGUUAAGGCGGAGUAAUUGAUCAUACAAUGCAUAAUAAUUAUUUUCUUCAUUAGAUUAAAUAAUACAAAUUACAUAUACGAAUGAGAUUAUUUAGAUGGGAUUUCUAAUUAAUGAUCCAGCUUAGGUGUGAACUUAAAUUAUGUGUUUGUUGGAAACCCUUGUGAUGGAAUAAAAUUUCAUCCUUUUAUACUUGUAUUUAUUUUUUUUGAAGAACAAGUUUGACUUUUCCUUUAUAAUAAACAUUAAGUCUUUUUUUAAAGGGUAAAUAAGACUUUAAUAAUGUUAAUUGUUAAGUGAAGUGUGAACAUCUCCUCCAUGUGAACAACUGGAGCAUCUUUUACCUACAACUUAUAUGUAUUGUCUCGUUGUUCACAUGAAACAAUAAAUAGUGUAAGUCAAAUUCUCAUUACAAAUAUAAAAUUGCAUUAAUUCUCUAUUAUUAUUAAUCUUGGAUAUUGCACCAACAAAAACUGAGAUUAUAAUUAAAUAAAUCCAAAUCAGACAGCACUGAGCCUCUUUGUUGUCAUUUUUUUCAACCUUGGUGCCAAUCAUAAGUCCGGUAUUAAUUUAAUCAUGAUAUGAUCUUGAUUCAUUGAUUACAAUAUAGUUUAUUUGUGGUAGAAUUUUGGGAAAAUUAAUAUAAAAAAUAUGUGAGGAGGAAUCUUUUAUGGAUGGUUCAGGGAGAAGAGGCAAAUGAAGAUGUCCCAGAAAUGAAUUGGUGAUCAAAUAAUCCAAGAAAAAAAGCAUCAAAUCUAUGAUAUGUAUAAUGAAAGAUGUAUUUAAGUAAAUAAAUAAGCUCGUGUUAGGCAUGAACCCUUCCCAAAACCAAGGAGACACGCAUUAGCCUAUUUUAUGUGCUUCACUUGCUGUAUAUUAGUAGGUGUAUGAAUAGAUUAAUCUUUCUGAAGAAAAAAAAAAAAGAAAGAGAAGAAGACUUGAGUGCUCCUUUUUAAAUGACUUUCCCUUUGGAUAUCGUUAUAUCAACAAGGACUAGCUGACAGCAGCCUGUUGCUUACUCGAUUGGAAUUAUGGAGCUUGCAUGCAAUGAGCUGGUGAUUCAUAUUUCACAGGUCUGAUGUGGAUGAACUUUUUUCUUUCUUUUCUUUUAAUAAAUGAUAAGAAUAUCUCACUUAUAAAACAAAAAGAGAAAAUUAGACUAUGCGUGGAAACUAUUCUCAACAAUAAUUUUUUGUUUUUUAAACAUAAAAAAAAAAAUAUGAAAACACAUUUGCCUGUAAUUAUUUCUAAAAUAGGUUACUGAUGAUAUCUUUUAAUUAUUUUUGGUUAAUUUUAUUUUUUAUUUAGAGCUAUUUUUAAAUGUAAUUUUAGAAAUAUGAAAAAUGAUUAAAAUAUAUAAAAGGGUACAUAAAAGAAUAUUUUGAAAACAUAGAAAAUAAAUUGACAAUAUUUAAAAUUACCAAAGAAGCUUUUAUUAUACCAUCGUAAAAUUAUUUUUGAUAAUUAAUCUCAAAAACCAUCUUUUUAUAACUAUUUUGAAAAAUAUUCUCUAAUUAACAAACCUUAUGCUUUUAAGGAGGAUAAGGUAAAAUUUUAAUAAAAAAUAUAAAAUAUGAAUAUUAAUAUUUUAGUAAAGUUAUAAAUUAUAUUUUUUUUAUUAAAAAUAAAUAUUUUUUUUAGAAAAUGAUAAUAGUUAAUAAUAUCUUAUUUAAACUGAAUUAUGAAAAUAAGUAUAAUUUAUUUUUCAAAAUAAGCAAUAAAUUAAUCAAGUUUUGAUCACGUACACAUGUUUAUUCCCUAGUUACAAGUAUUCUGAACCAGUUCAAUCCCACAAAAUUUUUAUAAUAAUUAGCAUAAUUUUUUAGUUUUAAUUUAUUUUUAAAAUAAAAGCAUGGAACUAGAUUGAAUCUUUCUUGGGAAUCCCUAGCAAUGCUGGAGGCUGUGGAGUGGCGGGAAAUCAGGGUCAAUUUCAAUCAAACGUGUAUCUCUUUGCAUGUUUAAAAAAAAAAAAAAAAACCACUUAGUCAUUAAUUGUUACAAGCUGUCCAUAUACUAUUCCACCACUUAUCCUGACGGAAUACUUAAAUUAAAUCCUACGUCAUCAUGUUCAACAUGUCUCUACCACUUUCUAAUUGGUAGCCACAAGUUUUCAAUUCCAUUUAUUAAUAAUAAAUUGAAAACAAAAUCAAACUUUCAAAUACUCGCAACAACGUAUGUGAUUUUUUUUCAUCAAAUAAAUCCAUAAAAAGAAUAGUCUCAUUACUAUUAUUUUUUAUUAAAAGAAAAAAAAAAUUCUCGAUAAAAAAUUCAAUUAACUAUUUUCUGGACACCCAAAGCGUUACACCAAGGGGAAAAGAAAAGGAUCAUACAAGUUAAAGUUAAUUAAUUUGACAAAAAAAAAUCAAAUUUGUUUCAUCAUCUCCCAUUAUUAUUUCUAGGAAGAUGUGGUGUGGUGUGACGUAGAACUAAUUAGCUCUUAACAAACAAAUUGAGCAAAAAAUAAUAUCCAAAUUAUGUCCUAUAUAUACCAGUUUAGGCUAGGGGUGUAUAGAGUAGAGAGAUAUCUAGUAGUACUCCCUCUGCCUAUCUCAUUCUCCUCCUAAGUCCUAACAAAUAACAAUGGCCGGGAACGAGGUGGUCCUUCAAAUGGAGGAGCACCGGAAAGUAGUCGCUGAUCAGUUUGGAAAACCUGCGGAUGGCAGUGAUCAUAUGAAAGCCUUGGCUGACUUAAAAUCCAAAUUUCGUCGACUAGAAAAUGAAGAGGAAUCUGAAUCUCCAUUAUCAUCAAGUGUAAAGCCACAACGUCCCUUAUCAUCAAGUGUAAAGCCACAAUGUCCCAUGGUUCCAAAGAGGUUGCGACCAGAUGUCAAGGGUGCUGAAGACUACUACUAUGCGCCAAAACUCAUUUCUUUGGGUCCUUACCACCAUGGCAAGCCCCACCUCAAGGAUGGAGAAACGCUCAAGCUUAAAUUGGCAGAAGCCUACAUCCAAGAAUGUGAGCCAACAGUGGAUGAAAUUUACAACACAAUUAGCGAUAGCAUUAGUGAGCUGAGGGGCUGUUAUGAUGCGGAGUCGACAAAGAAAUAUAAGGAUGACGAAUUAACCAUCAUGAUGCUGGUGGACGGGUGUGCUCUACUCUGUUACAUUUUAUGCGUUUGCUUAGGUUAUGGCCAUGAAGAUUUCAAUAUCAGAUAUCAGGAUAUAAGCCUUCUGCACCAGGAUGCGUUGCUGCUGGAAAACCAACUUCCCUAUCAAUUACUCCUUGAGCUGAUGAAGAUGGUGGACCCAGGAUCAGCCAAUGAUUUUUGGACGGCCAUGUUCCAGGAAUUCUUCGGCAUCAGCGACGAGUCAAUAUUUCAGGAAUUUAUCGGUAUGAAGAAGAAGGAGUCAUUCCUGCAAAAAAUGAAGAAUUAUUGCCCCCGCCUAUUCCUCCCAAUCAACCAAAUUAUUGACCCCAAAUCGAAGCCGCAAAGUCCUAAUAACGAGUCAAAGCCUUGUCAUCAUCUCCUCGAUCUCUUCCGAAGAAAUUUCCUAGGCGAUGAACGUUCCGGCAGCCCAACGCACCCAGAAAAUGAAAAUUUGGAAGGUCCUUCGUCAUCGGAAACUGAAAUUGGCCGGAGGCUGGGUAGAGCAUCAGUUAGAGAUGUGAAGGAGGUUAUGGCAUCAUUUAGAAAUGUGAAGGAGCUGAUGGACGCUGGAAUCCGCAUCAAGCGCAGUCCUACACGUCACUUGAGGGACAUUUCUUUCCGUUCAAAUGGGAUCACCGCAUGCCUGAGAAUUCCUCCCAUCACCAUUGAUAACUCAACCAAGGCUAUGUUCUUGAACUUGAUAGCCUAUGAAAUGAGCUCAGACGUCGACCAUGACUUCAUCUCUUACCUUCGCUUCCUUGAUUCCCUCAUUGAUCAUGCUGAUGACGUUAAGGAGCUGCAGUCCAUCGGGAUACUCCAAAACAAUCUAGGAACCCACGACGAAGUAGCUCAAUUCUUCAACACCGUGUCCGCCAACUUGGAAUCCAACUUUCAUGCUUACAAAGACGUGAGAGUGAAAAUUCGGAAGCACCUUCAGAGUCACUAUAACAGCAAACUGACAAUGUGGAUGACACAAUGCCUGGACACCUAUUUCGGUAGCCCCUGGACUAUCAUAGCUUGGGUUGGUGCAGCUUUGGCCCUAUUCCUUACUUUCGUCCAGACUUACUUCUCAGUCUUCCCUCAUUGAUGCAUGCCUGCCCUCUUUUCAACUAUCACCGUCUCAAUUAAGGUAAUAUCCACUCCAAAUUUCCUUGUUCUUCUUGCUAUCUGCAUUUUACCUAGUCCAUGUAAAUUAAGCAAAGACUCAUUGGCUUCAUGCGCUUUUGACCUUACCUAUUUUGUGUUUUUGGUUUCAGCCUAUUUUCUACAUUGCUUUCCGUGCUUAAAUUAAGUAACGAAUGAAUAUGUAGUGUGACCUUAGUUUGGUGAUUUUGUGCUUUCGCAAGCAUGUGCUAUGCUUAUAUAUAUGCAUCAUCAGCAAUAUUAUGUUUGAUUUAAGUACGUAAAUAAAGAUAGAUAUAGGUGGAAUAUUUUUUUUUCUAUGUUUAUAUUCCUGUUAAUGUAUUAUAUAUAUGUUAGGUCUGGCAAUUUUUUAUCUCAUACCAUUUUUAAUUAAAUCAUUUUUAAACUAUAGUUACUAAGCCAAAAAUUAUAAUGCUCUAGAAAUAUAAUCAAUCUCAUUGUCGAAUUUUUCUAAACUAAUCUCAGAAUAAGCUCGAUAUCUCUAACAAUAUAUUAUUUAAGGCACAUAAUAUUCCAAAAAAAAUUCUGCAAAAGAAAAAGAAAUUUGUUGAGAAGUGGUUUAUUUUAGUUGAUCUCUUAUUAUAUUUAGGAAUAUGGACAAAAUGUUAUAUUUAGGAAUAUGAACAAAACAACAUUUUGUCCGAUAGAAAUUUACCCAUCAAUAUGAAUGGAUAGAAAUUUACCCAUCAACAUGAAUGGUAUGGAAAUUUGACUAAUGCUUGUAAGAUCGGAUUUGUAAAUAUUUGUGGGUGAGUUUCUUUUGACAACCGAUGGACAAAUUCAUGUCAUGUAAGACUUAUUUGACAACAUUCUAAAAUAAUGUUGCUAAAAAUAUUUAAGAAUAGUUCUGAAAAUAUGUUUUACCUGUUUUUAGGAAUAAAAUUCUAACUUAUUUUGAGAAUAUUCUUAAAAAAAAAAGAAAAAAAAAAAGAGAGAAUGUUGUUAAAACUUGUUAAGAAUAUUUUUAAAAAUAUGUUUUAUUUGUUUUUAGGAAUAAAAUUCCAUUUAAGAAGCCUAGUCCUUCGCAAAGGCAUGUGCCACCAUCUAUAAUGGAAGAAGUUCACACCUAUUUUUCAUUUUUUUUUUGUUCUUUUUUUAAAACACUUGCAUAGCUUCUGGAUUAAAGUUCUUAAAGAUUAUUUUCAAAAUUUGAUGUAAUAAUUUAAAAAAAAAUUACUAUAAAUAUAUAUAUAUAUAUAUAGAGUUACUAUUAUUUUUAAUUUUACAAAAUAAAAAACAAAAAAUGUACCUAAAGGAUACCUUAAUUUCAACUUAUUAACUAUAUGUAAAAUUAAAAGUAUUUUUCUCCUUUUCAACUUGUUACAUACUUCAGUGCUUGUAUAUUGCUUCCAUACCAUAUGAUAAGAUGUGGCUAAAAUUGAUCUUCAUGUCAAGAAUUGGAAGCCUUCAAUAUGUUGUAAUUGCUUAAAAGAUUUCGCUUUGAGUUAUGUUUCUUGUGGGGUGAUGGCAAAGAAAACCAACAAAUUAAUAGAAAAACUAUAAAUAUAAUUCAGAAUUAAGGAAAAAAGAAAUACAAUAUUGAAGGUGCAGUAGAAUAAAAAGGAGUGUGGGCAUGAAUGAUAUGUAAAAACUCACCCAAUAGAAUCCUUUAUGAAGUAAAUAUUUUCAUAUCAUACGAUCCAAUGUUAAUCCUUCAUAACCUAUGGAACUGUAGAACCUUGAGAGGAAAAAAGCCACUCACAAAUUAUGACACAAACAGAAACUAGGAACAGUGGAAGAAAAUUGAAAAACUGAUCUCCCUUUCCGAGUCCAGCAACAAAAUUAGUGUCCAACCUUAAAAUGGGCAUGUGUGGUAUUGACGAGAGAUGCUAAGAUGGAAAUCAUAACCAUAGUCAUGUUCUCUCUGUGUCUUUGUGUCUUUCUAACCCACUUUUUUUAAGAAAAUAAUAGACCAAGACUAUAAUUAUCAAUUAUGACUUUAUUGUUUAAUUUAUAUUCUUUAACAAUUUUUUUAUUUUUUUAAGAAUAAUUUGUUUUACUAUAAUGGUAGGUGAUGAAUUUAUUUUCUUAAUAAAAGGCCUCCCAAUAAGGCAAUAGUUUCAUGUUUUUUUUUUAUCCUCUGCUUUUGUUGCAACUCUUCUGCUUCCGACCUUUCAUUAACCUAAAUAUUAGAAGUUUCUAAUUCAGUCCAUUGCACUCCAGUUGUCUAAAUACGGAAGCUUCUUCCACGACCCAGUUGCACUUUGGAAAGUUAAGCUUAAGAUUUACGAAGUUUCUGAAAAUUACAGUUUAUUUAGUUUCUAAAAUCCAAUUAGCUAGAUAUUUUAUUUGAUUUCUUUUUAUAUUUAAGUAGUUGAGUUUUGGAAAGUUUUUAUAUUUUAUUAAUAGAAAAAAAAAAUUUAUAUUUUUUAUUAUUAGGAAUUUCUAUUUUGUUAAAUUGUAAGUAUCUAUCUCAAUAAGAGAUUAUUAAUAUUCGAAUGAAAGUGAUGAAAGAUAGUAAAUAUUUUAAUGCUCCUCAAUUAUAUUUUAAUGUUAUUUUUUUACAUGAGGGUUAAUUCAAUUUUAAUUUCAACAUGUAAUAUGUUAAAAAUAUUAUAAAAUAGAACUAUAAAGGAGUAUUUACUUAUUUUAUAAUAUUUUCAAUCUACAAUUUUCAAAAAUCAAUAUUUAAAAAAGGUAUUAAAACAUCCCUUCUCUUCAAUAUAAAAGCAUUAUUGUAACAUAUUGUGGACCCCGCAUUUUGCCCAAUGCGUUCCCACUCGAUGACAAAACUCGCUUUCUAUUUAUUUUGUGAAAAAUAUGAUUUUUUUCAAAAGACUUAGAGUCGCCACUUAUUUUUGUUUUAUUUUUAAAGGAAAAACAAAAUAAGAAAGAAAAACCCUAAAUGUGAUUCCUUAUUUGGAAAAAAUAGGUCUGUGAAAAAUCACGUCGGGUCCGAGGGUCAGGUUACUUAUUGGAAAAGUACGGUGGUGAGCCAUAACACCCCUCUAAGUCCAUAAAAACGGGUCUCUACUAAUAAAAUGAAGCAAACAUGACAAUUGGUAAGGAAAUCAAUGGAUACAAAAGUGAUCACAAAUUAAAAGUAAUCAUGAUAAUGAAUAAAUGAACGAAGUGAGAGCGAGAGUGUACCUUGGCAGCAGGUAAUAAAGCGUUAUUAUGAAACAAAGUUAGUGCACAAUAACAAAUACAAAAUAUAUCACAUGCAUGUCAAAUAUUAGAACAAAAAAAAAAAAAAUAUUCAUUAGGCAUAGCAAUUAACAAUCAGAAGAGAAAUCUCAUAUGUAGGGUCCCCCACCAAAGCCCAAUUUAUCUUGCAUGCAUUGGUCUCACAAAUUUUAUUAUUUCGAAAUUAUGAAAAAUUCAUUCUUACUUAUGAAAAAUCAAAAGAAACAGAAGAUUAUUUGAAAACCGGAGUGGAAUUAAAACUGUUCAAAAUUUGUUUGAAAAUUGGAGUCUCGAAAAUUAUUUGAAAAUUGGAGUCUUGGGAAUUAAAUUUAAGAAUUGGAAUUUUGGAAAUUAAAUUUGAAAGAAAUUGGAAUUUUUUAAAAUUAUUUAAGAAUUAGAGUUUUUAAAAUUAUAUUAAGGAAUUGGAACUUUAGAAAUUAAAUUUGAAAGAAAUUAGCAAAUUAUUUGAGAAUUAGAGUUAUGAAAAUUAAAUUAUGAAAAUUGGAAUCUUGGAAAUUAUUUGAAGAUGGAAAAAAUAAACAAAAUAAUAAUAGUAAUAAUAAAUAAAUAAAUAAAUAAAUGUGAAAAUUGGAAUUUCGGAAAUUGGAAAUUAAAUUCGGAAAUUGAAAAAUUGGAAUUUCAAAAAUUGAGAAUUAAAAUUGAAAAUCAGAAUUUUGAAGAAUUAUUUACAAAUGGAAUUUUAAAAAUAAAUUAAUUAAUUAAAUAAUGAUAAUAACGAAGAUAACAAUGAUUAAAUAAAUAAAUUUGAAAAUUAGAAUUUUGGAAAUUGGAAAUUAAAUUCGAAAAUUAGAAAAUUGGAAUUUAGGAAAUUCGGAAUUGAAUUUGGAAAUCGGAAUUUUGAAGAAUUAUUUAAAAAUAGAAUUUUAAAAAUAAAUUAAAUAAUGAUAAUAACGAAUAUGAUAAUGAUUAAAUAAAUAAAUAUGAAAAUUAGAAUUUUAGAAAUUGGAAAUUAAAUUCGGAAAAUUGUAAUUUAGGAAAUUGGAAAUUGAAUUUGGGAAUCGAAAUUUUGAAGAAUUAUUUAAAGAUGAAAUUUUAAAAAUAAAUAAAUUAAUUAAUUAAAUAAUGAUAAUAACGAAGAUAGCAAUGAUUAAAUAAAUAAAUUUGAAAAUUAGAAUUUUGGAAAUUGGAAAUUAAAUUCGGAAAUUGAAAAAUUGGAAUUUUGGAAAUUGGGAAUUGAAUUUGGAAAUCGGAAUUUUGAAGAAUUAUUUAAAGAUGAAAUUUUUGAAAACUUGAUUUAAAAGGAGAUGGAGUUUCAAAAAUUUAUUUGAAGGUGUCAUUUUAAAAAUUAAAUUUAGAAUUGUGGAAUUUUUGGAAGAUUAAAAUUAAAAUUUUGAAUUUGGGAAAAUUAAAUUUAAAGUUAGAGUUUUAGAAAAUUAUUUCAAGAAUUGAAUUUUGAAGAAUUAAAUUUAAAAUAUUGAAGUUUUGGAAAAUUGAACUUAAGAUCUGAAAUUUCGUAAACUAAAUUUAAAAAUCAAAUUUUACAAGAUUAUUUCGAAAAGGGUACUUAUAUAUAUAUAUAUAUAUAUAUAUUAAUAAAAUAAUAAAUAAAUAGAUAAAUAAAAAUAAAUAAAUAAAGCAAAUAAAAUGAAUGAAUAAAUGAAUAAAUUUGAAACUUUGGGAUUUUAGAAGAAUUAUUUGAUAACAGAAUUUAAAAAAAAAAUGAAAUUUUUAACAUGAAAAGUGGAAUUACGAAGAUGGCACGUGAAAGAAAAGAUAAAAAACUAAUAAUAAUUCACCAUGAGGCCACUGGACCCAUGCCACUAAUAAAAAAAAAACUCAUGCCUUUGACUUUUCAUUCACCAAUUGUUUAAACAAUUUCCUACUGUCAAUGAACCACCAAGAAGUGGAGUAAUGAAGCCCCACUUCUCCACGAAAAAAAAAAAAACACCAGUAUGUAUCUGACUAGUGAUGACAAACUGUGGUGGCGAACAAGGAUAGAAGACGAUGUAGAGUUUGGAAGGCCCCAAAUCACCACUUGGGAGACUUUGAAGAAGGAAUUGAAGGAUCAGUUCCUUCCCACCAACAUUGCUUGGGUGGCCAAAGAAGCGUUGAAAAGGGUCAAACACACCGGAUCUGUAAGGGACUACGUCAAGGAAUUCAGUUCCUUGAUGCUGGACAUAAAGAACAUGUCAGAUGAGGACAAGCUCUUCAAUUUCAUGUCUAGAUUGCAAGGGUGGGCUCAAACGGAACUUAGGAGGCAAGAGAUUCGUGAUCUCCCUGUUGCCAUGGUUGCAGCAGAUUGCCUGGUGGACUACAAGAUGGGUGGCGCCAUCUCCACCAUGUAGAGACCUAAGUCAGAAGGAGGUAAGAAGGCUAAGGUUGAGGGCAAGACUUCUAAGAAAUCUGGGUGGAAGAAACAGAACAAGAAGCCUGUUGUAGAGGGAAAACCAGUGGAAAAGACCAUAAAGUUUGUGCAGCAGACCACCCGGAUGGUAGGAUGUUUCAUCUGCAAUGGCCCUCAUCGAGCCAGAGACUGCCCCAAAAGAAAGAAACUCUCAGCCCUUGUGACUGUAGACGACAAGGGAGAGUCUGACUUAGAGACUCCUCUUAGAGUCAACCCACUGCAACUCCUGAACGUGAUUAAUGGUGAGACUCCAGUCCAUAAGUCCCUAAUGCAUGUCCAUGCAGUUGUAAAUGGUGUGCAGGUGAAGGCCUUGGUGGACAGUAGUGCCACGCACAACUUCGUGGCCACCAGAGAAGCAACCAGGUUGGGAUUGAAGUUGGAAGAGGAUACUAAUUAGAUCAAGGCAGUCAAUAGCAAAGCCCAGAAAAUCCAAGGGGUAGCAAAGAAUGUCCCCAUGCAAAUUAGUGACCGGAAGGGCACAUGCAACCUACUUUGUGUACCCUUGGACGACUUCAACUUGAUCAUCGGUGUAGAUUUCCUCUUGAGGGCUAAGGUGGCCUUGAUCCCACAUCUUGGUGGGCUGGUGGUGUUAGAAGAAAAGCAGUCUUAUUUCAUGAAGGCCUUGAGGGUGAAGGAUGGUGGCAAGGGUUAACAUGAGAUGCUGUCUACUAUCCAUUUGAAGAAGGGAUUGAAGAGGGGUCAGGAGACUUAUGUUACAACCUUGAUCGAGAUCAAGGAGAGAUAGUCUGUGGAAGUCCCUGAUUCAGUGGUCAAAAUCCUUAAGGAGUUCAGAGAUGUGAUGUCUGCAGAACUCCCCAAAGAAAUGCCACCUAGGCGGCCUAUUGACCACAAGAUUGAAUUGCUACCUGGAACAAAGGCCCCGGCUUAAGCUCCUUACAGGAUGCCUCCUGCGGAGUUGUUGGUGUUACGUAAGUAAUUGAAGGAACUGUUGGAUGCAGGCCUGAUCCAGCCCUCAAGGGCCCCAUAUGGUGCACCAAUGAUGUUCCAAAAGAAGCAUGAUGGCUCUCUCCGCAUGUGUGUAGAUUAUAGAGCUCUCAACAAGGUGACCAUCAAGAACAAGUACCCGAUCCCCUUGGCUGCCGAGCUGUUUGACAGAUUGUCAAAAGCCUCUUACUUCACCAAGUUGGACCUAAGAUCGACUACUGGCAAGUGCGAAUUGCAGUAAGAGAUGAGAAGAAUACCACCUGUGUAACUCGGUAUGGAUCAUACGAGUUUCUGGUAAUGCCAUUUNNNNNNNNNNNNNNNNNNNNNNNNNNNNNNNNNNNNNNNNNNNNNNNNNNNNNNNNNNNNNNNNNNNNNNNNNNNNNNNNNNNNNNNNNNNNNNNNNNNNUAAUGCCCCUGCUACAUUCUGCAAUUUGAUGAAUGAUGUUCUGUUUGAUUACUUAGAUGCAUUUGUGGUAGUGUAUCUAGAUGAUAUUGUGGUUUACAGUAAGACUCUAACAGAACAUGAGAAACACUUGAGAUUGGUGUUUCAGAGAUUGAGGGAGAACAUGCUUUAUGUAAAGCCAAAGAAAUGUGAGUUUGCUCAGGAGGAUAUCACAUUUCUAGGACACAAGAUCAGUGCAGGUCUGAUCAAGAUGGAUAAAGGCAAGGUGCAGGCUAUUAUGGAGUGGCCAGUCCUUAGCAAAGUGACUGAGUUGCGGUCCUUCCUUGGCUUGGCCAAUUACUACAGAAGGUUCAUUAAGGGGCAUUCAAAGAGGGUGUCUCCCCUUACUGACCUAUUGAAGAAGGACAACCAGUGGAGUGGAGCAUGUAGUGUCAGAUGGCCUUUGAAGGCUUGAAGGAAGCCAUCUCCACUGAGCUUGUGCUACGUUUGCCAGACUUAGACUUACCCUUUGAAGUCCAGACAAAUGCCUCAAAUAGAGCUUUGGGUGGAGUCUUGGUGCAAGAAGGGCACCCUAUGGCAUUUGAAAGUAGGAAGUUGAAUAAUGUUGAGCAGAGGUACUCCACUCAUGAGAAGGGGAUGAUAAUUGUGGUUCACUGCCUGCAGCAGUGGAGACACUACUUAUUGGGAAGCAUUUUUACAGUGGUCACUGAUAAUGUGGCCAACACCUUCUUCAAAACUCAAAAGAAGCUGAGUCCCAGACAAACACGAUGGUAGGAGUUCCUGGCCAACUUCAAAUUUGAAUGGCUGCAUCGACCAGGAAGACAUAACACUGUGGCUGAUGGCUUCAGUAGGAAAGAGGUGAUUGCCUACAUCAUGGCCCUCUCAGAAGUCAUCUUUGACUUCAAUAAGAAAAUCAAGCAAGUUGCAGAGUAGGAUGCUGCAUAUGGCAGGUUGAAGCGGCAAGUUAAGGAGGGUGUGAUAAGGAGGUAUUGGCUAGAGGGAGACCUCCUUGUGGCAAAAAGAGGAAGAUGGUAUGUUCCUGCAGGCGGCCUGAGAAAUGAAUUAUUGCAGAAAACUCAUGACGCAAAGUGGGCAGGUCAUUCCGGUGAAGAGAAGACUCUGGCACUGCUAGCCAUAUCCUACUAUUGACCUAAGAUGGGUGAGGAUGUCCAGGCAUAUGUGAAAUCCUAUCUGGUUUGUCAGAUGGACAAGACCAAGAUGAAGAAGGUUGUAGGGUUGCUACAACCCCUCUCCAUUCCAGAGAAACCUUAGGAGAGCAUUUCCAUGGAUUUCAUCACUGGAUUUCCAAAGGUUUGUGACUUUAAAUCUAUCUUUGUUGUUGUAGAUAGAUUCUUUAAGUAUGUUGUGUUUAUACCUGCCUCUGAUGCUUGCUCUACGGAGGAAGCGACUAAGUUGUUUUUCAGUAAUGUUGUCAAGCACUUUGGGUUGCCUAGGGACAUAGUCAAUGAUCGAGAUGCACGGUUCAUAGGCCGAUUUUGGGUUGAGUUGUUCAAACUCUUGGGUUCAUAGUUGAAGUUUUCUACAGCCAACUACCCUCAUACUGUCGGUACUCGCACGGAUUCUACCAUUUCCCGGUAUUCGCCGGGAUUUUACGAUUUUUCGUUAUUCGCUCGGAUUCUACCAUUUUCAUUUAGUCACACUGAUUCAACCCUUUUCCGGUACUCGCCCGAACAGUUUUUCGGUACUCGCACGGAUUCUACCAUUUCCCGGUAUUCGUUGGGAUUUUACGAUUUUUCGGUAUUCGCCCGGAUUCUACCAUUUUCAUUCAGUCACACUGAUUCAACCCUUUUCCGAUACUCGCCCGGAGAGUUUUUCGGUAUUCGCACGGAUUCUACCAUUUCCCGGUAUUCGCCGGGAUUUUACGAUUUUUCGGUAUUCGCUCGGAUUCUACCAUUGUCAUUUAGUCACACUGAUUGAACCCUUAUCCGGUACUCGCCUGGAGAGUUUUUCGAUACUCGCACGGAUUCUACCAUUUCCCAGUAUUCGGUUGGAUUUUACGAUUUUUCGGUAUUCGCUCGGAUUCUACCAUUUUCAUUUAGUCACACUGAUUCAACCCUUUUUCGGUACUCGCCCGAACAGUUUUUCAGUAGUCGCACGGAUUCUACCAUUUCCUGGUAUUCGUUGGGAUUUUACGAUUUUUCGGUAUUCGCUCGGAUUCUACCAUUGUCAUUUAGUCACACUGAUUGAACCCUUAUCCGGUACUCGCCUGAAGAGUUUUUCGAUACUCGCACGGAUUCUACCAUUUCCCGGUAUUCGGUUGGAUUUUACNNNNNNNNNNNNNNNNNNNNNNNNNNNNNNNNNNNNNNNNNNNNNNNNNNNNNNNNNNNNNNNNNNNNNNNNNNNNNNNNNNNNNNNNNNNNNNNNNNNNCAUGACGCAAAGUGGGCAGGUCAUUCCGGUGAAGAGAAGACUCUGGCACUGCUAGCCAUAUCCUACUAUUGACCUAAGAUGGGUGAGGAUGUCCAGGCAUAUGUGAAAUCCUAUCUGGUUUGUCAGAUGGACAAGACCAAGAUGAAGAAGGUUGUAGGGUUGCUACAACCCCUCUCCAUUCCAGAGAAACCUUAGGAGAGCAUUUCCAUGGAUUUCAUCACUGGAUUUCCAAAGGUUUGUGACUUUAAAUCUAUCUUUGUUGUUGUAGAUAGAUUCUUUAAGUAUGUUGUGUUUAUACCUGCCUCUGAUGCUUGCUCUACGGAGGAAGCGACUAAGUUGUUUUUCAGUAAUGUUGUCAAGCACUUUGGGUUGCCUAGGGACAUAGUCAAUGAUCGAGAUGCACGGUUCAUAGGCCGAUUUUGGGUUGAGUUGUUCAAACUCUUGGGUUCAUAGUUGAAGUUUUCUACAGCCAACUACCCUCAUACUGAUGGGCAGACUGAGAGAAUCAACGCCUUGCUGGAAGAAUACCUCAAGCAUUAUGUGACAGCAAUACAAAAGAAUUGGGUGGAUUUGUUAGAUACUGCCUAGUUGUGUUAUAAUCUGCAGAGGAGCUCAACAACAAGGAUGAGUCCCUUUGAGCUGGCUAUUGGGGUACAGCCACAGAUGCCUUUGGAGGUAGCUAAGCAAAAAGCAGAAGGAGGUAGUCCUGCAGCUUACAAGAUGGCUCAAUCCCGGCAUGAGAUGUUUGAUGAAGCCCGGGACAGUCUAGAGAAGGCAGUUAGAUGAAUGAAGAAGUAUGCGGAUCAUGACCGCAAAUCCUUGGAAUUUUAGGUUGGGGACAAGGUCCUCUUGAAAUUGACUCAUAAGAUAUGGAAGAAAAUCAGUAGCAAGACAAGGCAGAGGAGUCUAAUUCCUAAGUAUGAUGGACCAUUCGAGGUGAUAAAACGAGUUGGGCAGAUGACCUACAUGUUGAAGCUGCCUGAGAGGCUCAAGCUUCACCUAACUUUCCAUGUUAGCUUUCUAAAUCUUUACCAUGAGGAUCUGGAUGUAGAGAGAGUGCAAAUAAAGCGGGCCCUUCUCUUGGUCAUGAAGCAGUUUGAUCGAGAGAUAGAGAAAAUCUUAAAUCAUAGGACCAUGGGACAUAGCAGAAAGAACCGACGAACUGAUUUCUUGGUUUAGUGGAAGUGGACUUCAAAAGUAGAAGCUACAUGGGAGAGGAAUGUUACCUUAUGGCAAUUUGAGACGGCGGUCCAAACAUAUUGGUAGACUAAGUCGACGAGGGUGUCAACUUCAAUAGGCGGGGGUGGGUUUGUCAGCCCCUUAACCACUUGACUCUACCAUGGAGGAAAAGGCCUCAUGGGUAAACCUUGCACCCAUGAGAGCCUAGACGGAGAAAGCAAGGAAGACUUAGAGGUUUGGUGGUUCAAACUCCAAGAGCUAAGUGAGAAGGCCAUGUGUGAGCUAGACACGCACCGUGGACGAGCCUGACGCACACCGUGCGUGCAUCGCGAGCGAGUCAAACAAGCACCGCGUGCGCAUUAGAUGGGCACCGCGUGCACACUAGAUGGGCAUCGCGCGCGCACCAAUCUUAGGUAGUGCAGAUGAAGGCUGAAGGCUACUUUUGGAAUUUAAUUUAUAUUUAUUUAAUAUUCCAUUAUGUCUCAUCAGGCAUAUUAAUGUCUCCUCCAGAAACAAUGAAAACGACUUGUAUUACUCUUUAGGGGGGGGGGGGGGGGGGGGGGGGGGGGGGGGAGGAGGUAAGCAACUCAAAAAGGGAAGCACCAAGGGAAAGCCUUGACCGCACCAAGAGGGCACCAUGACACGACCUUGGGCGUGCCUAGGACACACGGAUAGGACUCGAGCACGCACACAUGGGCUCCACGACAUGUGUGGUGUGCACCACGUGGCCACAACGGCACGGGGCCUGGUGCGGCCUACCUCCUCCUCGUGUAGGCAUGAGGACGCCUAAACCUUGUGCAGUGAGCCAGUUGAGGAAGUCAUGGGCGCAAUACCAUGGCUUGAUGGGGCAUUAAACAACAAUUGACUAGCACCCAUGAUGCCUACGUACAGCACAAGGGCGCAAUGCCCUGUGCACUAAGAGGGAUCAGUCAUGAACGCAAUGUCAUGGCUCGUUGCUAUGAAGUUGGACCUCACAUUGGAAGCAAGCAACAUGCCCAAGCCAUGGGCACCUAAACAUGACAUGGGCUCACAUAUCAGUGUGGGGAAGACACACUGAUGCACCAGACACUUGGUCAGCUGGUUGGUGCACGUUGCCUAGUUCUGAAGGCCUUGAUCAAAGACACGCUGGUGGGCACCAGGUCAUAAGAGGCACCUUGCGGGAAAGGAGGCAACUUGUUAAGGGGACUCUUCAGCAGCUUGGUGAGAAAGGCUUGAGGAGAUGGCAAUGCAACAAGCUAGUGGCAGCUAGUUGGGAUAGCAAGUGAUCAAGUCAAGCAGCCAAUUGACUUGCAGUUGGCUGAGGUGUUGAUGGCUGGUGCAAGUGGGUGGUUCACGAGCAGGCCACUAUCUGGGUGGUGGGUGGUUAUGCAGGACAGUUAUGGGCGCAUUUGGCCAAUUGCAUAACCACUAGAUUGGCUUCAACUUUUAAAUUUGGUAAUUCAAAAAUGUAACUGCAGAAUGAGUCUUUUAAAAGGGCUCCUGCAUCCUUGAAAUAGAGAGUGAGAGAUUGGGAUAGGGUUCUCUUAAUGCUUGGGGUGUGAAGUAUUGUACUAUGACUCAGGGGAAACAAUUUUGUCUUGUAGAGUGAAUUAAUACAAGUUGGGAAAGGUUUCCUGUAAAUCGUUGGUGUCCCUGUUACUGUGCUUUUACUUUGCUUUUACUCUAUUUUUGAAAAGGCUGGGAAGGAAGGUUGGCUAAGGAAGGGUCCUUAGCACCGCACACUCGUGAAAAAUUUAGUGUGAUCUUCAGGGGGGUGUAACAGUGAGUAUAGUGUCGGGUUUGAGCAUCUCCAAGCAUUUCAAUAUGGUUCAAAUGGCUCUCAAACAUCCAGAAAUUCCCAACAGUAUGAAAAAUGGCUCUCAUGGUGCUCUCCCAGAAACACCUCCACCCAAGAUGGCCAACCUCAAACGUAAUGCCCAACACUCUAAAAUAUACCAAAAGCAGAGGAGAAAGUAAACAAAAGCAAAGCAUGCACAAACGUAAAUGAUACCGUUAAACCUAGCUCCAUUUCAUAAAGAUCAAUGGGCUGGAUAUAGGCGGAACCAAAAGAAAGCAAGAACGUGAUCUUCAAAACCUUAUUCAAGCAUCAAGAUGAACCCAAAAUUGGCGGGAAAUGAAAUAGAACAAACCGAAAUGGGAAAUGCAAAGCAUGCUAAAAUCAUACCUGACCAAAACGACAGGCUUUUCCUCUGCUCAAACUCGGAAUGUCCCUUUCUCCUAUCUUUCUUAGCUAGCUCUGCUACCCUUCCUCCAUGUCUCCUAUCAGCUGGGUUUUUCUUAUUUUCUCAGCCCGCUUCAUAACCACCAGAAAAACGAAAAAAAAUCUCUUCUUACCUCCUUCCAGCUUACUUCUCCUCCAAGCUAUAUCCAUAUCCCAUCUCAUUUGGCAACCCAAUAGCUCACCCAUCAGUCCUCUUUGGCUGCCCCAAAAACAGCUCACUUCUAAGGUAGUCAGAAAAAGAAAAAAAGAAGAAAGAAGGAAAAAAAAAAUGCUUCCAUCCGAGGGGGUCUACACAUAUACAUUUUGUUCUAAUUUUCUAAUAGUUGUGCACAGUUGAAGGGAAAACAAUUUGAUUUUCUAAUUAAUAUUACUUUUAUAAAUACUUUAAUUACUUUUAUAAAAUUGAUUCAUAAUGAUUUUAUUAUUUCUUUGGAACUCAUAAAAUAAAUCUAAUUACGACAGAAAAAGAAAAAGAGAAAAGUGAGUUUUGAUCACUAAUUUGAAAAAUACAAAAAUAAAAAACUUCAGCUUUUAUAAAUCAUUUGUAUCUUCAUUUAUUUAAAAUUAUUUUAAAAUACAUGCACUUUUUUAUAACUCAAAUAAUUAUUUCCUAAAAUGACCUUAUUAUUUAUGAUGUUAAUAAUAUCAUUUUUUUUUAACCAUGAGAACCUAUUUGAGAUUAAUAAAAUGAGAAAUUUUAAAAAUUUUAAAUACAAUUAAAACUAAAAAAACUUUAAAGUUAAAAAUAUAAAAAUAAAAUAUUAUAUUUUUUUAUUAUAUUUUUGGUUUUUAAUUGUAUUUAAUUUUUAUGUAUUUUAGUUUUAAUUAUAUUUUUAAAUUUUAUAAAUUUCUUAUGUUAUCCUUAAUUGAUGUCAACUAAUAAAAUUUAUAUUCAAUUUUAUUUAUUUUUUUUAAAUGAGAAGAUGUGGGGGUUUAUCUAAUACAAAACAUAAAAUCAUAUUAACUAGGGGAUUAACAAGAUUUUAUUUAUUACUUGAUGAUGUUGGAAAAUUUUUCCACGAUGAUUUGUAUCUUAUGUUAUAUAAUAAAAUUUUAUAAUAUAUUUAUUUAUAAAAUAUUUUUAUCAAAUUAAAAUAAUAAAUUUGGAUAAAUUCAUUUAAUAUUAUCAAAUAAAAAUGUAUUUUAGGAAAUAAUUAUUUAACUUAUGAAAAAGUGUAUAUAUUUUAAAAAAAAUUAAAUGGAUAAAGAUAAAAUUGAUUUAUAAAAUUUAAUUUUUUUUUUCUAUAUUUUUUCAAAUUAGGUUAAAACCCACUUUUUCUCAAAAAAAUAAUAGACCAAAUCUAUAAUUAUCAAUUACAAACCUACAAUUAUCAAUUAUGACUUUAUUGUUUAAUUUAUAUUCUUUAACGAAUUUUUAAAAUUUUUAAGAAUAAUUUGUAAUUCAAAAAAUUGGUCCAUUUAAUUACAAAUUAAAUAAAAAAUUCCAUAAUAUGUUGUUAUCCUUGUAUGUAAUAAAAAACUCGGAUUAUUUAUAUGUUAUAAAAGUUAAAAUUUAUUUAUUUUUAAAUUAAUUUUAUAUAAAAUAUUAUUAAUUGUUAUUAUUUUUAAACAAUUAUUAUUCAUUUUUUAAAAAAAAUAAUUAUACUUUUACAAAAAUAUUAAUAUCCAUAUUUUUAUAAUAUAUAUUAAAAUAGUAUAUUUUUAUGAAAAAAAAAAUAAUUUUAUGACUUUAUUAUAAUAUUACUAUUCAUAUUUCACUAAAUUUAAUUUAUUUGUAACAACAAAAAAAACUAUUUUCAUUUUUAAUAAAACUUAAAUUAAAUCUAAUUAAUAUGGUAUAAAUAGAAUUUAUAACAUUUUUACAAAAUCAAAAUAGAAAAAAAAAAUUAAACCAAUUUAUUCAAAUAAACUUGUUUUUUCUUUUUUCUAAAUAUUUUUAAAAACAAUUUAUCUAAUACUCUUAUUUUUAUAAAAUAUUAAAAUAACAAUUUUUUUAUUUAAAAAAAAACAUGAAAAAAGCAUGGUCACAACAAACCUAAAAAUAAUUAUGAUUCUAUGUACUUUUUCAUUAAAUGUGCUAUUUUUUACCAUUCACGUGUUAUGCCUUACUGAUGUAGAUCAAAGUUACGCAUAAGAUUAAAAAUGAUUUUUGUACUGUUGCUAUUUUGACGGGUUUUUUUUUUUUCAAAUGAAACAUGCUUUUUGCCCUUUUUGCCCCCACUCUGAUUGAGGGUUUGGUUUAUUUCACUAGCACGGAGCCCUCUCCAUCUGCCAGCCUACCUGACAACUCUGAACCGCUCUUUAAGUCUUUGUUUUUCCUCUUUCAUCAAUGACACAAAUAACUCUCACAUCAGGCGUUUUAAUCUAUUACUGCCACAGGCCCACAAGCAUCAGACAAGGUAUUAAUAGAGGCUUCUCUUUGAUACACCUCAAUAACCAUCCAUGUAAGAUAUGUAUAUUAAACACUAUGAUUCAAUACAUUAUUAUAUACAAACCAGAUGAACCCAGUUACCCACAACCUAGCUUAUUAUAAUUUUUUUAUUUGAAUUAAAUUAAAUGAUUUCAUAAUAAUACUUUUUUUUAUUUUGAAAUAAUAGGUGUUGUGCAAUUUGUUUUACUUUAUUGGUAGGUUAUGAAUUAUUAUUAUUAAUAGUAAUAGUAAUAUAAUUCAAUUAAUAUUUUGUAGGAUACUCAAAAGCUUUAUAUGCACGUAACAAAAUAAAAAGACUUACGAAGACUUAAAAUUAAUGUAAUAUCUAUUCAAUUUACAUAAAUAAGUAUGAUUGUGUGAAAAAGGAGAUAAAUGAAAAAGGUAAAGAAGGUGAACAAUAAUAAAUUUGAAGGAUAUGGGAAAUAUUUGGUUAAAUUAAUAAAGAUAAAAUUGAUUCAUAAAAUUUAAGUUUUUUUUUUUAUAUUUUUUUAAAUUAGUGGGUCAAAACCCACUUUUUCUCAAAAAAUAAUAGAUCAAAACUAUAAUUAUCAAUUAUAACUUUAUUGUUUAAUUUAUAUUCUUUAACAAAUUUUUAAAAUUUUUAAGAAUAAUUUGUAAUUCAAAAAAUUGGUCCAUUUAAUUACAAAUUAAAUCAAAAUUUCCAUAAUAUGUUGUUGUCGUCGCAUGUAAUAAAAAGCUCGGAUUAUUUUAUAUGUUAUAAAAGUUAAAAUUUAUUUAUUUUUAAAUUAAAUUUAUAUAAAAUAUUAUUAAUUAUUAUUAUUUUUGAGCAAUUAUUAUUCCUUUUUAACAAAAAAUAUAUAUUUUUACAAAAAUAUUAAUAUCCAUAUUUUUAAAAUAUAUAUUAAAAUAGUAUAUGUUUUUAUGAAAAAUAUAAUUUUAUGACUUUAUUGUAAUAUUAUUAUUCAUAUUUUACUAAACACUAUUUAUGUUAAUUUAUUUGUUAUAACAAAAACUAUUUUCAUCUUUAAUAAAACUUAAAUUAAAUCUAAUUAAUAUGGUAUAAAUUGAAUUUAUAACAUUUUUACAAAAUCAAAAUAGAAAAAAAAAAUUAAAACCAAUUUAUUCAAAUAAACCUUUUUUCUUUUUUCUAAAUAUUUUUAAAAACAAUUUAUCUAACACUUAUUUUUAUAAAAUUUUAAAAAAACAAACAUGAAAAGAACAUGGUCACAACAAACCUAAAAUAAUGACGAGUCUGAACCGCUCUUUAAGUCUUUGUUUUUAUUUCACUCAGACGGAGCCCUCUCCAUUUGCCAGCCAGCCUGACAAGUCUGAACCGCUCUUUAAGUCUUUGUUUUUCCUCUUUCAUUAAUGACAAAAAUAACUCUCAUAUCAGGCGUUUUAAUCUAUUACUGCCACAAGCAUCAGACAAGGUAUUAUUAGAGGCUUCUCUUUGAUACACCUCAACAACCAUCCAUGUAAGAUAUGUAUAUUAAACACUAUGAUUCAAUACAUUAUUAUAUACAAACCAGAUGAACCCAGUUACCCACAACCUAGCUUAUUAUAAUUUUUUUUAUUUGAAUUAAAUUAAAAGAUUUCAUAAUAAUACUUUUUUUUUUUUUUUUGAAAUAAUAGGUGCUGUGCAAUUUGUUUUACUUUAUUGCUAGGUUAUGAAUUAUUAUUAUUAGUAGUAAUAGUAAUAUAAUUCAAUUAACAUUUUGUAGGAUACUCAAAAGGUUUAUAUGCGACAUAACGGAAUAAAAAGACUUACGAAGACUUAAAAUUAAUGUAAUAUCUAUUCAAUUUAUAUAGAUAAGUAUGAUUGUGUGAAAAAAGAGAUAAAUGAAAAAGGUAAAGAAGGUGAAAAAUAAUAAAUUUGAAGGAUAUGGGAAAUAUUUGGUUAAAUUUCAAACUAAUGGUAAAUAAGUAUUUUUAACCUCUAUACAGGGGGAAGUGAGUAAAAUUAUUGAAUGUAGCCAAAAAUAUAAAUAAGGUACUAGAGGCUUCUAAAUAAACGUGGAUAUGAGAAAAGGUAUAUUUAUAAAAAUUAAAUAAAAUUGUUGAAGAAACUAUUAAACUAUAAUCUAAUGCUUUACAAUCUUGUAUAAUGAGAUUAACCUAAAUUAUUAACGAAAUAUCUUAUUAUAUUUUUUAUUUAAAUUAAAUCAAAAAAAUUUGAUAAUAAUGAUUUCAUUUUUAUCUUAGGAGUAAUAGGUGUUCCUUGUGUUCUUUUGUGAUCUCUUGUGUCUAUAAUUAUAUUACUUUUUCUCACACACUCUCUUACUUGGUUAUUUGUUUGUCUUAUGUGUGCAUAUCAUAGGAUUGUUCAUUGGUGGAUGUUGUAUGGUAAUUGUAAUUUGUGCGAUUAAGGAUGAUGUUUAGUUUAGAUGAAUGUCCUUGACAAAUUUGUAAACUCCAUUUGAGAAUUUUAGGGGUUUAUGUAAUUUAUAUUUUGUCACAAGAUUGUCAAAAGGGGGAAAUUGUUAAUUAGUGCAUUAGGCUACUUAGUUUAAAUUAAAAAUUUUGUUCAAUCCAUCUUCACUUACAGACUUUUUUAGAUUAUUAUGUUUUACUAUUUAUUAAAAACUUAAGGUUAUUGCAUGAUCAAUUGGAAUAAUAUAAGUAUAGAGAUGUUCAAGAAAAGUUAAUUGGAAUCAAUUAUAGCAUGAAAUGAAUGUUAGGCUUUAAGCUAGUGAAAAAGGUUUUAAAAUUAAUUUGAAACUACUCAUGAGCCCGAGCUCAAGCAUCACUUUUAGUGUUCAAGCCAAAAUUCUAUAGGAUACUGAAUUUUUUUUUUUUGUCAUAUUUUUAGAGGUUUAUUGAAACAAAAAUUUAAAUUUCAUCUCUUGUUUAUUAUUUAAUACAAACUUUGAAAAUAAUUUAAGUAUUAGUUUUCCCACAUUCUAAACUCUUAAAAGUUCUCAUUCUUAGAUUUAUAAGAGAGAUUUGCAUCGCGAGAUGUACACUAAGGUCACAAUCAAGAUUUACAAACUAUUCGCGUUGCAUGAUUUGUUUUACUGUAAUGGUAGGUGAUGAAUUUAUUUUAGUUCACAUGUGAAAAUGAUGGGGCUAUAAAGAAAAAGAUACAAGUUAAAGUCCGACAAUUUUUUUUUAAUUGAGAUUCAUUUAUUUAUUUUUAAUUGAGAAAAAUAAAAUAUUAAUAUUAUUAGAAACUUUAUUUAUCAAUUUUUUUACUAUACAAUUUUCAUACAUCUAAUAUGUGAACUUUUUAAUAUCAUGGCAAAAGUGAAAAACAAAAAUAAAAUAUUUAAAAAAGAUUGAUCAAAUUACCAAACCAUCUUAUACUUAAAAAUAAGGCACUUAAAAAGACAAAUGACUCUUAGAAAGAGAAUUUGUAUUUUCAUCAAUUUAAGUUCUUUAUAUAUCUAUUUUAUUUGCACACUUACCUAAUUAUUUACAAUAUACUUCAAAUAAAUUUUAUUAUAUACCUUCUUUCACCUUCUUUCCUUGUUUUUUUUUUCUUUGGCAAAAAUAUUCUUCUCUCCAACUUUUUUGUUAUAAAAACAAAAUAAUAUUUGAGAUUAGUGUAAAGCUGAUUGUAAUAUUUUAAAUGUAUUUUUUAAUUGAAGUACUCAAUUAUAUUAGGUUUAUUUCAUAUAAAUAUAUUUUGAGUUUAUUAUUUAUAUAAUUUUUUUAUUAAUAUUUGUUAGAAAAAUAAUUAAUACUUAUUAAAGUUUUUUAAAGGCAACACUUACUAUUUUUUUUUUAAGAAAUACCGACCCUAAACUAAAAAGGGUAUAAUUGAAAUUCAUAAGGGAUCAAAAUUUCAAUUACAAAUUUGAUGACCGUUUUGAAUACUUGUCAACUAAUUUUAACUAUUUUGGAUAAUUUUUCCAUCGCCAAAUUGAAAGAAAGGCAAAUAAUUACAGAGAUUCGAAUGGAUCUCUAUUUGAAAUGCCCGCUUGCCCGCCCUUCAUUUAAGGACCUUUGGUUGGUUUUUCUAUGGGUGACGGGGGAAGAGAGAAACAAGAAACCAAAGGAGGAGGGUAGCUCAUUUUGGGUCUUGCCAGUUUUUGGAGAAGGAUAGCUUACUCGAAGCCGCUUCAAGCAAUACUACUUUGGCGGACCUUUUCAGGUAUGGCAGCUGUAAGCUUCUUUUUAUUUUUUAUUUUUUAUUUAUUUGCUCCAUUUUCUGCUGAUUUUCUGAUCGAUGUGGAAAUCAAGGCUUAAAUGAUUGUUUUGCUGAAUCUGAAUUUGUUUUCAUACUAAACUCUGUUUUGAUUUUAUACUGAUCCCUUUUAUUUUUCCUGUAAAUAACUACCGUAUGGAUUGUUCUUGAGUUGGAUACUUGAUAAUCAUGCCACUGCUCUAUGCUUAUCCCACUUACGUUCAAUCCCAUGGAUAACACAAUGAAAUGUAAGAUAUGGUAUAUUUAUCAAAAUCAACAAUGAGUGCCCCUAGCAUCAGACACGGUAUUAAUAGAGGCUUCUAUUUGAUAUACCUAUCCAUCCAUGUAAGAUAUGGUAUAUUUAUCAAAAUCAAAUAAAAUUCUGUGUGAAACUAUUAAACACUAUGAUUUAAUACAUUAUAGUUAUGUACAAGCCAGAUCAGCCCAGUCACCCACCACGUAGCUUAUCUUUUUUAAUUUGAAUUAAAUUAAACUACUAAAUGCAAUAUAUUUUGAGAUAUUUCUAAAAUCUGUUUGAGAGUAUUAGAGGUUUGUGUAAUAUAUUUAGUAACAAAACUUCCAAAUGAGGGUUAUUUAGUUUAAAUUGAUAAUUAUGUUCUGUUUAGGACUUUUUUAGAUUAUUAUACCUUACUUUUUAUUGAAGAUUUAAAGUUGUUGUAUAAUCAUGAAAUGGAUGUUAAGCUUUACGGAAAAUUGAUUUUAAACUAUGUAGGAGCCAACGUUCAAGCAGUACCCCCGAUGCUCAAACCAGAGUUUUAUAAAUUCUGAAAAUUUUCUUGUUCGACAUUUAUUGAGAGUGUUUUCUUUUUAAAAAAUUUUAGAUUUCAUUCUCUAGUUUUCACUCUUGAAUGCAAACUUUGAAAGAAAAAUCUAGGUAUUGGUUUUCCCACUUACCAAACUUUUAGAAGUUUGUUUUUUGAUUCCUAGGUUUGUGAGAGUGAUUUGUAUCCCCUUUGAUAUUGAGGUUGUCCAAUGGGUGCACAUGUGGUGAUAUGUGAUGAAAAAUUAGUAUAAGUAUCAAGAGAGUAAGAUUUAUGAAUAACUUUUAUCAUGUGAAUAUGUAUACCAGUUGUUUUAUAAUGAAUUUGUGUUUUGUGAUUUCUGGUAGUUUUUCCAUUUGAAUAUUCUUGUUGAUAACUGUAGGAUGAUUUUCAGGUAAACAUAAUUAUAUCUCCUGUUAUUGACCCUUUUUUACAUUCCUCAAUUAUUAGAGAGGAAUUAAAAACAAAUAUUUUGGGCUAAAGCGAAAUAAAUGCUCUAAAAAAUAUUAGUGUUGCACAAUUUAUUUUACUAUAAUGGUAGGUGAUUAAUUUGACAAAUAUAAUAUAGGAAAGCAAUGUCACAUCCCAUUCAAAUUUUGAAAAAGGCCUAAAGUAAAUUAUAGAAAUUACAUGCUGAAAUACAAGAUUUAUGGAUUGAAGUUUCUACAGAGAUAUGUGGGGUAGCACUCUGUCUAGAUAUCUCAUUCUCGUACUAACAAUGACUGUAGAGAUCGAGAUGGACCAUUUCGUGGUGCCGCAGGAAGUAGUUGCUGAUCAGGUUGUAAAUCCUGCGGAUGGCGGUAGGCAUAUUAGAACCUUGGCCAACUUAAAAUCCGAAAUUUGUCGAACACGAGACGACACUCCAUCAGAAAAAAAUGCAAAGCUAGAAUGUCCCAAGGUUCCAAAGUCGUUGUUGCCAUCAGAUGCCAUGGGUUCUGAGUCUGACGGCCACCGCAAUGAGCCAAAAAUCAUGUCUUUGGGUCCUUACCACCAUGGCAAUCCCAAGCUCGCGCGUGGAGAAAUAAUCAAGCUUAAUUUGGCAGAACAUGCCUUUUUAUUAUUUUCGAUGUCGGAAUCAAUCUCAAUAGAGGAGGUCGAUGAAUUGUACGGCGAAAUUAGCGGUCAAGUCCAAUCGCUGAGGAGCUGUUAUGAUGCGAAGUCGACGGAGAAUUAUUCGGAUGAAGAAUUCAGUGUGAUGAUGAUGGUGGACGGGUGUGCUUUACUGUAUUAUAUGUUUCAUGCUUGCUAUGGUGAUGAACAUGACCAAGAAAAUUCCGGUAUCAGAUAUCAGGAUCUAAGGCAUCUGCAGCGGGACGCGUUGCUGCUGGAGAACCAACUUCCCUAUAAAUUACUCCUGGAACUGGGCGAAAAGGUUCCAGGAUAUGACACUAGUGAGUGGAUGGCACUAUGCUUGGAAUUCGUUGGAGUGAUUGGGGAGGAGGAGGAGGAGGAGGCGUACUCAUUCCCGCAAAAAAUGAGGAAAUUUUGCUCCGGCCCGUUCGGCCAAAUUAUUGGCCGGAGUCUGAUGAAGAGUCGGUUAUAAACCUUAAGCCUCUUCAUCUCCUCGAUCUGUACUUAAAUAAUUGGCUAGGAGCCAAACGUCCUAGCCAAAAAAAAAGCGGCGGUGGGGAAUCAGUUAGAUAUGUGAAGGAGAAGGUUAUGGCAUCAUUUAGAAAUGUGAAGGAGCUUAUGGCCGCUGGAAUCCGCAUCAAGCCUAGCCCUACGCGUUACUUGAGGGACAUUUCUUUCACUUCAAAUGUCAUCACUGGAUGCCUCAGACUUCCUAUCAUCACUAUUGAUAACUCAACCAAGGAUUUGUUCUUUAACUUGAUAGCCUGGGAAAGGUGCUCAAGUCGUCGCCAUGACAGUCAUGACUUCAUCUCUUACCUUUGCUUCCUUGAUUCCCUCAUUGAUCAUGCUGAUGACGUUAAGGAGCUGCAGUCAGCCGGGGUACUCCAAAACAAUCUAGGCACGCAUGAACAAGUGGCUGAAUUUUUCAACACUCUGUCCGCCAAGUUUGAAUCAAACUUUCAUGCUUACAGAGAUGUGAGAGUCAAAAUUCGGAAGCACCUUAAAAGUCACCGUAACAGCAAACUGAAAAGGUGGAUGACACAAUGCCUGGACACCUACUUCGGUAGCCCCUGGACUAUCAAAGCUUGGGUUGGUGCUGCUUUGGUCCUUUUCUUUACUGCCGUCCAGACUUAUUUCACAGCCUUCUCUCAUUGAUGCAUUCAUGGCCUGCUUUCUCGCUAUCUAUUGAGUGCUUCUGCAUUUUACCUAGCCUAAAUUCAUGGACUCCAUAUAACCCUUUGAUGUGCAAAGUAAAUUAGGCAAAGAGUCAUUGGUCCCGUUUCUUUGCCAUUUCAGCCUAUUUUCUACCGUCCUUUCCGGGUUUAAAACAAGUAAAAAAAUAAAUGUAUGCUGUGAUCUUAUUUUGGUGUAUUUUGUGCUUAUGUACGCAUAAGUAAUAUUAUGUUUGAUUUAAGUAACUAAAAAUAGACAUGGGUGGACUGUUUUCUUUUUAUGUUUGGAUGCCUAUUAAUGGAUUAUAUUAGGUUGGCAAUUUUAUUUUAUUGAUGUUGUACUCCAUGUAACUUAUUUCCUCGGAUCUUAAUGGUUGGGAUCGGGCAAGUGUUUGAAGAAGUAAGAUAAAGAAAUGAAAACUUCAGAAAAGAAAAAAAAAAAAAGAACCGAAACAAAACAAUGUGAAAAAUGGAGAAAAACCAGACAGGAAUGCAGGAAAUUUUAAUAGAUGAAAGUCAUUUAUUCAUUUUUAAUUGAGAAAAAUAAAAUAUUAAUAUUUUUAUUAGAAAUUUAUUUAUCAAUUCUCUAUUAUAAAAUUUUCUUGGAUUUCAUGGAAAAUAUAUUAAAGAAAUUGACAUUAGCUGCCGGGAACUUAUCUAAAAUUCCUUUUUUUUUUGUGACAAAGAAGCUUCUGAGGAAAGGAUUUUUUUCAAAAGAAAAAUAAAGGAGGGAAGAAGGUAGGUGGUAUGGAAUAGAAGAAUGGAGAAUGGUAUGAAUGUAUUGAUACGAUUUUUAUCUUCUUGGUUGAUUGUGUAAAUAAGAUGGCUGCGUCACAGAAUUUCACGAGUAAGGGAGUAGUAUUUUUUGGAGAAGAAGAGUUUAGUAAUUUAAUUAUUUUUUAUUUAAAUAUUUUAUUUUCUUUCCAGUUUUAAAGAUGAUAUUGGAAAGUUUGACUCGGUAAUAUUAGGUUUAUAUUUGUUCAGAAUAUGUUUAGGGUUUACAACUCAUAAUUUUUGGCAAACAUUUGUCACAACAAUAAUUAGGAAACUUUUAAGAUGUAUUUAGAAGUGAAAAGUGUUUUAAAAAGUGGAAAAAUCUCCAAUAAAAGCAAGAUUGUGUUAUCUAGCUUGAUUUUUUUGUUCUUUGCUUUUCUCUGCUUUUGUUGCAGCUCUUCUGACCAAAAUACUAAUAGUUUCUAUUAAGCAAAAUAAUAAAACAGACACAAGAUGUAGAAUGACAGCACAUGAUAAGAAUCCAUUUUCAUUAAUAUUUAUAUAAAUAAAAAAUUAAUCAAAGAUUAAUAAUAUUUUAUUCUCCUAUUUUAGAAAAUAAUAUUUAUUUUAGAUAAAUCAAGAGCUAUUAAAAAUAUUUUAUUCUCUUAAUUUAGGAAAUGACAUUUGUUUCCUUAAUUUUAAGAUAUUUAUUCUUUCAUUCUUUCUAUAAUUCACAAUGUAUCGUUGUAUAAUUUUUUAAAAAGAAACAAUAAAAAAAUCGUUUUCAUUAGGAAGAAGCUCAAACUUGAGUCCUCUCCAAGAGUGGUCAAAUGCCAGAAAAGGAGUGGUUGAAUAAUAUAGUCAUGAUCAAAAUGGUUGAGAAGACGCAUAUUUCAAAUUGAGGGGUAGAGGCUUCACCCUUUCUAUGUGUUACAAUUCUUACAAAAAAAAUUCUUUUAUGUUUUUAUCGAAUCUCUAUCAAAAAAUGAUGUCUUCACCAUGUUUAAGAGUAAUCAAAUAUUAAUAAUAUUUUAUUUUCCUAAUUUAAGAAAUAAUAUUUAUUUUAAAUAAAUCAAGAGCAAUCAAAUAUUAAUAAUAUUGGGUUAAAUACACUUUACCUUCUCAACCAAUGGUAGUUCUUUUUUUCCCGCACUGUUUUGCUUCAUUUUUGUCUUUGAUAGCUAAGAAAAUUUCUAGACAAAGAAUAAAUAUUAAGUGAUGAGGUGUUUAUAUCGGUUAGGGUUUUCUUUUGAUAGUUGAAAAAAUUUUGGGAAAAAGUUUAAAUUUUAGGUGUUUAGGGUUAAGGUUUUCUUUCCAUAGUUGAGAAAUUUUAUGAAAAAAAACAGAUUUAGGUGUUUAGGUUUCCUUUUCAUAGGUGUUUAUUUAUAGUCAAUUUAGCUUUCUUAUGACAUUUUUUUUUUGUUUCUUUUCAUCAACAUUGCAUCUAUAUAUUUAUCUAAUAUGAAUUUUAUAUUAUAUGUUUGCAAAUAAACCACCUAACUAUUUUACCAUCAAUUAUGAAGGGCGAUUUAGGGGUGAUAUGAGACAUGUAUUUAAGAAUAGUGAUUAUUUGGGUGGAAAAGUGGAUUAUGUUGAUAAUUGUGACAAUAAUGUAAUGUUUUUGAUUGAGUUGGAUCAUAUAUUGUUUUUAUUAAGAUAUAAAUAUUGCAUUGAAUAUUUCUAUGCUAAUAAGAAAGUGAGAAAAUAAAAGCUAAACCUUAAUAGAAAAAACACCCAAGGGGGAGGGAGGUGAAUUGGGGUUUAAAUUUUUUGUUUUUAAGCACAAUGAAUUCAUGUAAAGGAAUCACAAAUAUAAAGAAAUAAGGAUAAAAAAAACUUAGAUUUUAUAGUGGUUCGGCACCCUUUACUUAUGUCAACUCUCCUCAAGUUCCUAAUCGAGUGAAGGUUCCAUUAUACUUGAAGCUUCAACCAAGCGUCCAACCUUUCAGACCUAGAUUUUGGCUCUAAUGAGUUAUUACACAAUUCGUUCAAAUUUCUACUCACUUGAAGCUUCUAACACUCAAAUAAGAAGUUUAAAUCUGUCAACUAAGCUCAAUAAGAGAUCAAAUACAACUAAAAUACUAGGAUAAAUAACAAUGGUGCACUAAAAGAAUAUGCAACCGAGGAUUUUAAUGCAUCAAGGAGAGAAUGAGAGCUUUUGAAUCAAGAACUGGUAAUUAAACAAAUAAAUGUAGGUGUUCUUAUCUUCGUUAAUGAAAGAAAGCUCCCAAUUUAUAGGUUUCUAGCCUUGGGAGCCAAAAUAUCAAAAAAUAGCCUCGACUGGUCAAGCUAUAGGUCGAGCGGUUGACUAGCCAUUGGGCAAUUAAUGCAUGACCGGUGACUAAUAGGCCUCAACUAGACCUUGAUCGGGCCAUGACUGGGAAGGCAUACCCCUCGAUUAGGAAUGCAACACUACUAGAAGAGAGAGAAGAUUUUUUACAUCUCUCGAUCGAUCCUCGACCGGGAAGACAUAAACGGUCGAUCGGUACUUUAACCGAUUGAUCAGUGCCUUGACCAGUUUACCUUUUUUGGCCUAAAAAUCUGUCAUUUUUUUUUGUUGUUUUUGCUUUUAACACCUAGGUAAGGUCUCUAGUCACCGAGUAUGUCAAUUUUCAAACAAUUUGCUUAAGGUUCAUUUGAUAAAACUCGGAUUUUAAUCAAAUGUGUCUUUAAUGCACUUAGGAUAUGGAAAUCCUAAGUGUACCCAUGUAUUCAACUUACAAACGGUUCCUAAGAUUAAAAUAUCUUCUUUGUGCCUUGAUCUUGAAUCUAUUGGAUCCUUUGAUGAAUUUCUCGGAUCUUGAUCUUGAAUCUUGAAUCUAAAUAGACAGGACUAAGGUGGUGUUUGUUUUUUUUACUUAAUUCUAAAUAGAACCUUAAUACUUAAUAGCAUUAAAUAUUAGGUUAUUUGUUUUUAUAGUAUUUUAUUUCUAUUAAGUAUUAAAAAGUAAAAAAAAAAAACCAAUAUGUUAUUUUUUUUAUUUAGAAAAAGUUACAUAUUUUGGCUUUUUUUAUUUAGUAAAAAGUUUAUAAUAAGUCAUGAAAAAAUAAAAAAACAAACAACCUAAAUUCUAAAACUAAAUUGCUUUCAGCAAAAAGCCAAAAAAACAAACACCACUUAAGCCUCUUUGUUGUCAUUUUUUUCAACCUUGGUGCCAAUCAUAUGUCCGGUAUUAAUUUACUCAUGAUGUGAUCUUGAUUCAUUGAUUACGAUAUAGUUUAUUUGUGGUAGAAUUUUGGGAAAAUUAAUAUAAAAAAUAUCUAAGAAAUGAAUUUGAUGAUCAAAUAAUCCAAGAAAAAAAGCAUCAAAUUUAUGAUAUGUAUAAUGAAAGAUGCAUUUAAGUAAAUUAAUAAGCUCGAACCCUUCCCAAAACCAAGGAGACACGCAUUAGCCUAUUUUAUGUGCUUCACUUGCUGUAUAUUAGUAGGUGUAUGAAUAGAUUAAUCUUUCUGAAGAGAAAAAAGAAGAAGAAGAAGACUUGAGUGCUCCUUUUUAAAUGUUAAAUGACCUUCCCUUUGGAUAUCAUUAUAUCAACAUGGACUAGCUGGCAGCAGCCUGUUGCCUACUCGAUUGGAAUUAUGGAGCUUGCAUGCAAUGAGCUGGUGAUUCAUAUUUCACAGGUGGGAUGUAACUUUUUUCUUUUUUUAAUAAAUGAUAAGAAUAUCUCACAUAUAAAAUAAAAAGAGAAAAUUAACCUAUACGUGGAAACUAUUCUCAAUAAUAAUUUUUUGUUUUUUAAACAUAAAAAAAUAUGAAAACUCAGUUGCCUGUAAUUAUUUCCAAAAUAGGUUGUAAUAAUACCUUUUAAUUAUUUUUGGUUAAUUUUAUUUAUUAUUUGGAGCUAUUUUUAAAUGUAAUUUUAGAAAUAUGAAAAAUGAUUGAAAUUUAUAAAAGGGUACAUAAAAGAAUAUUUUGAAAACAUACAAUAUUCAAAAUUACCAAAGAAGCUUUUAUUAUACCAUAGUAAAAUUAUUUUUGAUAAUUAAUCUCAAAAACCAUCUUUUUAUAACUAUUUUGAAAAGUAUUCUCUAACAAACCUUAUGCUUUUAGGGAGGAAUGGUAAUAUUUUAAUAAAAAUUAUAAAAUAUGAAUAUUAAUAUUUUAGUAAAGUUAUAAAUUAUAUUUUUUUUUGUUAAAAACAAAUAAAUUUUUUUAGAAAAUGAUAAUAGUUAAUAAUAUCUUAUUUAAACUGAAUUAUGAAAAUAAGUAUAAUUUAUUUUUCAAAAUAUGCAAUAAAUGAAUCAAGUUUUGAUCACGUACACAUAUUCAUUCCCUAAUUACAAGUAUUCUGAACCAGUUUAGUCCCACAAAAAUUUUAUAAUAAUUAGCAUAAUUUUUUAGUUUUAAUUUAUUUUUAAAAUAAAAGCAUGGAACUAGAUUGAAUCUUUCUUGGGAAUCCCCAGCAAUGCUGGAGGUUGUGGAGUGGCGGGAAAUCAGGGUCAAUUUCAAUCAAACGUGUAUCUCUUUGUAUGCUUAAAAUAAAAAAAAAAAUCUCGAUAAAUCAUCUCUUUCAAUUACAAAUAACUGUUAUUGAAUUAUUAUUAUUAUUAUUAUUCGUAAUAUAAUUCAAUUAACUAUUUGCUGGACACCUACAGUGUUACACCCGACUAAGGGGAAAAGAAAAAGAUCAUACAAGUUAAAGUUAAUUAAUUUGACAAAAAAAAAAAAAAAUCAAAUUUGUUUCAUCAUCUCAAGAUGUCAAGGGUGAAGACUACUACUAUGCGCCAAAACUCAUUUCUUUGGGUCCUUACCACCAUGGCAAGCCCACCUCAAGGAUGGAGAAACGCUCAAGCUUAAAUUGGCAGAAGCCUACAUCCAAGAAUGUGUGCCAAGAGUGGAUGAAAUUUACCACACAAUUAGCGAAAGCAUUAGUGAGCUGAGGGGCUGUUAUAAUGCGGAGUCCACAAAGAAAUAUAAGGAUGACGAAUUAACCAUCAUGAUGCUGGUGGACGGGUGUGCUUUACUCUGUUACAUUUUAUGCGUUUGCUUAGGUUAUGGCCAUGAAGAUUUCAAUAUCAGAUAUCAGAAAAUGAAAAUUUGGAAGGUCCUUCGUCAUCGGAAACUGAAAUUGGCCGGAGGCUGGGUAGAGCAUCAGUUAGAGAUGUGAAGGAGGUUAUGGCAUCAUUUAGAAAUGUGAAGGAGCUGAUGGACGCUGGAAUCCGCAUCAAGCGCAAUCCUACACGUCACUUGAGGGACAUUUCUUUCCGUUCAAAUGGGAUCACCGCAUGCCUGAGAAUUCCUCCCAUCACCAUUGAUAACUCAACCAAGGCUAUGUUCUUGAACUUGAUAGCCUAUGAAAUGAGCUCAGACGUCGACCAUGACUUCAUCUCUUACCUUCGCUUCCUUGAUUCCCUCAUUGAUCAUGCUGAUGACGUUAAGGAGCUGCAGUCCAUCGGGAUACCAAAACAAUCUAGGAACCCACGAAGAAGUGGCUCAAUUCUUCAACACCGUGUCCGCCAACUUGGAAUCCAACUUUCAUGCUUACAAAGACGUGAGAGUGAAAAUUCGGAAGCACCUUCAGAGUCACUAUAACAGCAAACUGACGAUGUGGAUGACACAAUGCCUGGACACCUAUUUCGGUAGCCCCUGGACAAUCAUAGCUUGGGUUGGUGCAGCUUUGGCCCUAUUCCUUACUUUCGUCCAGACUUACUUCUCAGUCUUCCCUCAUUGAUGCAUGCCUGUCCUGUUUUCAACUAUCACCAUCUCAAUUAAGGUAGUAUCCACUCCAAAUUUCCUUGUUUUUCUCGCUAUCUGCAUUUUACCUAGUCCAUGUAAAUUAAGCAAAGACUCAUUGGCUUCAUGCGCUUUUGACCUUACCUCUUUUGUGUUUUUGGUUUCAGCCUAUUUUCUACAUUGCUUUCCGUGCUUAAAUUAAGUAAAGAAUGACUAUGUA
This 34913-nucleotide long non-coding RNA is filed under the name Vitis vinifera (wine grape). RNAcentral's name for it is "long non-coding RNA (VVIN_LNC005254)". The record is from RNAcentral. Lineage: Eukaryota; Viridiplantae; Streptophyta; Magnoliopsida; Vitales; Vitaceae.